AUGCUCUUAUUGCAUGGACCAAGUCAUUCUACAAGAGGUGAUAGCAACUUAGCAAGUACCUAAGCCAAAUGCUAAGCUUGAAACUGAAGCCUACAUAUGAAGAUAGUGCUGUUAGGAAGUGCUAUACAAAUACCAAGUACUUCAUACAGGACAACUGGCAAAGAACUUGGGUUAUGGCACUGUGGAUUUGUCUGAUGUUAGGUUUAUUUGCCUACAAAUUCUUACACUGUAGAAGGAGAAAAGAUGUAUAUCAUGUUAUAGGGUGAUAGCCGUAGCAGUAGCAAUUGGUGUUGAAAUACAUGCAAUUUUUCAUCUUUCUUGCGACUUCCUUCGCCUCCUUCGUGUAAGCCCUCAAAAGUACAAGCCACACCUUGGUUCAGGAGAAACAGGAUUAAGCUUCCUAAACCACUCAACAAUCUAACUAGCUUCAGUGCAUUUUGGUACUCACAUCAUCUCUUUGUCAUUGUCUAUGCCUCGUUGAUUGUUCAUGGAAUCAAACUUUUCUUUACCAAAGAGUGGUACGAGAAAACGGGGUCUGAUUUAGAUAGUUUAUUAGAGUAGAAUAAUGUAACAUCUUCAGCCAAAACAAUUGUUGGCUCAACACCUCUGAAGCAGAAUCAGAAGCAUGAAGGUAGUGCAAGAAGGUAGUGCAAGGAUUAUUAGAAGCACACUCUCAAACAAGGAAAUGCGCAAAAGUCAGUCAGCCAGGCCUCAAUCGGAGCAGGCAAUACCAACAUCUGAUCUACAAAAGGAAAGACAAGAACCUACAUGUGCAAUUGAUUUUGAAGAAAUUUAUUUUUAGAGAAAUAAAUUUUAUUUUUAGAGAAAUAAUUUGUAUUAUUCCCAAAUAGAAGAUCUUAUGGCUGCUAAUUUAUUAUGGCAACCGAAAUUUUGUUUUAGGAUAAUUUUUAUUAUUUAAAGAAUAUUGGAUUGUAUUA
Molecule: non-coding RNA, 938 nt
Organism: Arachis ipaensis
Lineage: Eukaryota; Viridiplantae; Streptophyta; Magnoliopsida; Fabales; Fabaceae
Source: RefSeq, a predicted model, not a curated record